Molecule: ribosomal RNA, 253 nt
Filed under: uncultured bacterium
Lineage: Bacteria
Description: partial 16S ribosomal RNA
Rfam family: Bacterial small subunit ribosomal RNA
Source: RNAcentral
UACGGAGGGGGCUAGCGUUGUUCGGAAUUACUGGGCGUAAAGAGCUUGUAGGCGGUUUGUCGCGUCUGCUGUGAAAAUCCGGGGCUCAACCCCGGACUUGCAGUGGGUACGGGCAGGCUAGAGUGUGGUAGGGGAGACUGGAAUCCCUGGUGUAGCGGUGAAAUGCGCAGAUAUCAGGAGGAACACCGGUGGCGAAGGCGGGUCUCUGGGCCGAUACUGACGCUGAGGAGCGAAAGCGUGGGGAGCGAGCAGG